RNAcentral lists this ribosomal RNA (397 nucleotides) under uncultured bacterium. RNAcentral's name for it is "bacterial SSU rRNA". It matches the Rfam family "Bacterial small subunit ribosomal RNA", at positions 362 to 776 of the family's 1533-position model. The record is from RNAcentral.
UAUUGCACAAUGGGGGAAACCCUGAUGCAGCGACGCCGCGUGAGCGAUGAAGGCUUUCGAGUCGUAAAGCUCUGUCCUAUGGGAAGAUAAUGACGGUACCAUAGAAGAAAGCGCCGGCUACUUACGUGCCAGCAGCCGCGGUAAUACGUAAGGGGCGAGCGUUGUCCGGAAUUAUUGGGCGUAAAGAGUGCGUAGGCGGCAAAUUAAGUCAGAUGUGAAAACUAAGGGCUCAACCCAUAGAUUGCAUCUGAAACUGAUAUGCUUGAGUCAAGGAGAGGAAAGUGGAAUUCCUAGUGUAGCGGUGGAAUGCGUAGAUAUUAGGAGGAAUACCGGUGGCGAAGGCGACUUUCUGGACUUGAACUGACGCUGAGGCACGAAAGCGUGGGGAGCAAACAGG